Molecule: non-coding RNA, 30 nt
Filed under: Mus musculus (house mouse)
Lineage: Eukaryota; Metazoa; Chordata; Mammalia; Rodentia; Muridae
Source: RNAcentral
UCCCAUCUACACUGGAUCCAGCGUGCACGU